Molecule: long non-coding RNA, 1468 nt
Organism: Centruroides sculpturatus (bark scorpion)
Lineage: Eukaryota; Metazoa; Arthropoda; Arachnida; Scorpiones; Buthidae
Exons: 3
Source: RefSeq, a predicted model, not a curated record
AAGUUUGGUAUGGGGAAAGGGUAGAGAGGAUCUUUAAGUGAUUUCUACUCCUAUAAAUUAAUAGGAGUAGAACCACUACGGUCCCCUAAGUUUUCUGGGCGGAAAAAAAAUCAGCUCCUCUCGAUAGCUCUGACUAGAAGGAAGCCUAAAACUUAGUUAACAAUUAAGAAAAACACGUUGUUCUAAAUUGAGUUUACGAUUUAUAUCUACAAGUGAACCUGCCUAACAACGGCCGAGAAGAUAAAACAGCUGAACACUAGCAGUUGGUCGUGAGUUCGUACCUCUUCAACGGGCUGGCCAUGUGGAAUUUUCCGGGUUUUAAAUAUAUUUAGGGACCACUUUAGCAUAGAAAGUUCUCUCGGGAGAUCGUCCACGUGUCCGUUGACGUAUUAUCAACAACUACUACAAAUGAAUGUGUUAACUGAUUAACAAGAUGAAUUUAUUCAUAGACCCAAAAUUGUAAUUUGUGAAGAUCUUUGACUCGAGAAAAUAAUCAGAUAAACAGUUGAAAUUAAAAAAAAAUACUCCGAGAUAAAUUUUAUUAGCUCUUAGUCAACAGAAACUUCAACAAAAACAAGUCGAGUAGACGAUACUCAGACAGGAUCUAGUUAUAUAAAUUGUGAUCAGCAUCGACACCAUUCUUUGUUUAUCACGAGUUUAUCAAACUUUCCGAAUCCUUGAAAAGUGUCGACGUACGCGAAGCUAAUUAUGAUUUUGUGAAUAUUUUCAUGUAGGAAAAUAUUCACAAAUUUAGACAGAUUUACACUAGAAAACGUACUUUAUUCUGAACGUCACAGAAAAGGCAUAAAGUCUACGACUAUUGUAUUCAGAUCACAAAGAUUAAUCUGCGUAAUCUCCAGUGGGAUGAGGCUCAUAGGUGGUCGAGUGAAUAAAACCACGGAAUGGGUUCGUGCCUCACUAACCGGCUGACAAUGUGAAGUUUUCUGAGUUUUCUUCACCUAACACCUUAAUAGGGGCCAGUUUUCUUUAGGAAGUUCUCCCGGGAGACAUCCCCUUGACAAAUCGUUGGUUUAUAGAAUGUGUUGUGUUGGCACAUUCCACAAACCAACCAAACCAAGCGGGAUGAGUUUCUAAAAUCCACAAUAUAUUUAUUAGUUUUAAUCUGUUUUGAAUCGUGUAGUUCCUUAGGCAAGCGUAACUUGCUAAGCAUCAUUUAUUAGUUAAUAUAGUAUUAAGCCCGUAUCACAAAUGGUACUUAGACAGAUUUUAAUAUAAUACAUUGCAUGCAGCGAUCGCGUUGCAUGCAAUGUAUUAUAUUAAAUUGUGGAACUCAAAAAAUUCCAGACAGAACUCCAAAUUUCUUCCACGUUCGUUUAAUCUGAGGGGAGCAAAGUUGAUAUCUACAAUCUCUCUUUACAUAAGAGAGAUAGAGGGGGAGUCAACAAGACCAUAUCGUCGAGCCCCUGGACAUUAGCAGAUUCAGUAAUCUUUAGAGGGAAAGCAGAAA